GAGGCAAGUGCUGUUCUCAUCCCUGUUUUACAGACGAGGAACCCGAGACACAACUGCAGGCCACGCAGCGGCUGGUACUUGGCUGUCCUACCCCAUCCGCUCUGGUGCAGACAAACGGACUUUCUGUCUCUAUGAAGUUGCCUCUUCUGGACACUCGAAAUGAGUGCAAUCAUACCGCCUGUGCCAUUCAGUGUCCAGCUCAUGUCACUUGGCUGAUGUCCUGAAGAUUUAUCCACAGUGCAGCGUAUGUCAGAACUUCGUUUGUUUUACGGCUAGAAUAUAUUCCAUUGUAUAGCUGUGUUCCAUUAUGUUUACCCACUCAUCUGCUGAUGGACUUUGGGGCUGUUUUCCGCCUUUUGGCUAUUGUGACUUGUCCUGCUGUGAACAUUCAUGAGCCAGUUUUUGUUUGAA
Nomascus leucogenys (northern white-cheeked gibbon) is the source of this 411-nucleotide long non-coding RNA. RefSeq lists it as uncharacterized. The record is from RefSeq and is a predicted model, not a curated record. Lineage: Eukaryota; Metazoa; Chordata; Mammalia; Primates; Hylobatidae.